This 549-nucleotide ribosomal RNA is filed under the name uncultured Glomeromycotina. Its description in RNAcentral is "SSU rRNA". It matches the Rfam family "Eukaryotic small subunit ribosomal RNA", at positions 548 to 1098 of the family's 1831-position model. Lineage: Eukaryota; Fungi; Glomeromycota. The record is from RNAcentral.
UUGGAGGGCAAGUCUGGUGCCAGCAGCCGCGGUAAUUCCAGCUCCAAUAGCGUAUAUUAAAGUUGUUGCAGUUAAAAAGCUCGUAGUUGAAUUUCGGGGUUAGUAGGUUGGUCAUGCCACUGGUAUGUACUGGUCUCACUGAUUCCUCCUUCCUGAUGAGACGUAAUGCCAUUAAUUUGGUGUUGCGAGGAAUCUGGACUGUUACUUUGAAAAAAUUAGAGUGUUUAAAGCAGGCUAACGCUUGAAUACAUUAGCAUGGAAUAAUGAAAUAGGACGUUCGAUCUUAUUUUGUUGGUUUCUAGGAUUGACGUAAUGAUUAAUAGGGAUAGUUGGGGGCAUUAGUAUUCAAUUGUCAGAGGUGAAAUUCUUGGAUUUAUUGAAGACUAACUACUGCGAAAGCAUUUGCCAAGGAUGUUUUCAUUAAUCAAGAACGAAAGUUAGGGGAUCGAAGACGAUCAGAUACCGUCGUAGUCUUAACCAUAAACUAUGCCGACUAGGGAUCGGAUGAUGUUAAUUUUUUAAUGACUCAUUCGGCGCCUUACGGGAAAC